This 473-nucleotide ribosomal RNA is filed under the name uncultured bacterium. Its description in RNAcentral is "partial 16S ribosomal RNA". It matches the Rfam family "Bacterial small subunit ribosomal RNA", at positions 28 to 507 of the family's 1533-position model. The record is from RNAcentral.
GAUGAACGCUAGCGGCAGGCCUAAUACAUGCAAGUCGAACGGGUGGUCGCAAGACCACUAGUGGCGCACGGGUGCGUAACGCGUAACCAACCUGCCCCGAUCUGGGGGAUAGCCCGCCGAAAGGCGGAUUAAUACCGCAUAUACCCGCAGCCUGGCAUCAGGCAACGGGGAAAGAUUUAUUGGAUCGGGAUGGGGUUGCGUGACAUUAGCUAGUUGGCGGGGUAAGGGCCCACCAAGGCGACGAUGUCUAGGGGACCUGAGAGGGUGAUCCCCCACACUGGCACUGAGAUACGGGCCAGACUCCUACGGGAGGCAGCAGUAGGGAAUAUUGGGCAAUGGGCGAGAGCCUGACCCAGCCAUGCCGCGUGCCGGAUGAAGGCCUUCUGGGUUGUAAACGGCUCUUCUCAGGGAAGAAAAAGACCUUGCGAGGUACACUGACGGUACCUGAGGAAUAAGCACCGGCUAACUCCGUG